GUGGGGAAUAUUGGGCAAUGGGGGAAACCCUGACCCAGCAACGCCGCGUGAAGGGAGACGGUUUUCGGAUUGUAAACUUCUUUUAUCGGGGACGAAAAAAAUGACGGUACCCGAAGAAAAAGCCACGGCUAACUACGUGCCAGCAGCCGCGGUAAUACGUAGGUGGCAAGCGUUGUCCGGAUUUACUGGGUGUAAAGGGCGUGUAGGCGGGACUGCAAGUCAGAUGUGAAAUACCAAGGCUUAACCUUGGGGCUGCAUUUGAAACUGUAGUUCUUGAGUGAUGGAGAGGCAGGCGGAAUUCCUAGUGUAGCGGUGAAAUGCGUAGAUAUUAGGAAGAACACCAGUGGCGAAGGCGACUUUCUGGACGAAAACUGACGCUGAGGCGCGAAAGCCAGGGGAGCGAACGGGAUUAGAAACCCUAGUAGUCC
RNAcentral lists this ribosomal RNA (428 nucleotides) under uncultured bacterium. Its description in RNAcentral is "partial 16S ribosomal RNA". It matches the Rfam family "Bacterial small subunit ribosomal RNA", at positions 354 to 796 of the family's 1533-position model. The record is from RNAcentral.